Molecule: ribosomal RNA, 519 nt
Filed under: uncultured Pseudomonadota bacterium
Lineage: Bacteria; Pseudomonadati; Pseudomonadota
Description: bacterial SSU rRNA
Rfam family: Bacterial small subunit ribosomal RNA
Source: RNAcentral
AGAGUUUGAUCCUGGCUCAGAUUGAACGCUGGCGGCAUGCUUUACACAUGCAAGUCGAACGGCAGCACGGGGGCAACCCUGGUGGCGAGUGGCGAACGGGUGAGUAAUACAUCGGAACGUGUCCUGAGGUGGGGGAUAACCUGGCGAAAGCCAGGCUAAUACCGCAUACGCUCGGAAGAGGAAAGCAGGGGAUCGCAAGACCUUGCGCGUCAGGAGCGGCCGAUGUCCGAUUAGCUAGUUGGUGGGGUAAAGGCCCACCAAGGCGACGAUCGGUAGCUGGUCUGAGAGGAUGAUCAGCCACACUGGGACUGAGACACGGCCCAGACUCCUACGGGAGGCAGCAGUGGGGAAUUUUGGACAAUGGGGGCAACCCUGAUCCAGCCAUGCCGCGUGAGUGAAGAAGGCCUUCGGGUUGUAAAGCUCUUUCGGUGGGAACGAAAUGGUUACGGCUAAUACCUGUGACUGAUGACGGUACUCACAGAAGAAGCACCGGCUAACUACGUGCCAGCAGCCGCGGUA